Molecule: transfer RNA, 75 nt
Filed under: Candidatus Daviesbacteria bacterium
Lineage: Bacteria; Candidatus Daviesiibacteriota
Description: tRNA-Gly
Rfam family: tRNA
About the family: Transfer RNA (tRNA) molecules are approximately 80 nucleotides in length.
Source: RNAcentral
GCGGGUGUAAUUCACCGGUAGAAUGCCACUUUUCCAAAGUGGACGUAAGGGGUCCGACUCCCCUCACCCGCUCCA